This 862-nucleotide ribosomal RNA is filed under the name Salmonella enterica. RNAcentral's name for it is "partial 23S ribosomal RNA". It matches the Rfam family "Bacterial large subunit ribosomal RNA", at positions 490 to 1268 of the family's 2925-position model. Lineage: Bacteria; Pseudomonadati; Pseudomonadota; Gammaproteobacteria; Enterobacterales; Enterobacteriaceae. The record is from RNAcentral.
GUGAACCAGUACCGUGAGGGAAAGGCGAAAAGAACCCCGGCGAGGGGAGUGAAAAAGAACCUGAAACCGUGUACGUACAAGCAGUGGGAGCACAGGUUUACCUGUGUGACUGCGUACCUUUUGUAUAAUGGGUCAGCGACUUAUAUUCUGUAGCAAGGUUAACCGAAUAGGGGAGCCGGAGGGAAACCGAGUCUUAACCGGGCGUUAAGUUGCAGGGUAUAGACCCGAAACCCGGUGAUCUAGCCAUGGGCAGGUUGAAGGUUGGGUAACACUAACUGGAGGACCGAACCGACUAAUGUUGAAAAAUUAGCGGAUGACCUGUGGCUGGGGGUGAAAGGCCAAUCAAACCGGGAGAUAGCUGGUUCUCCCCGAAAGCUAUUUAGGUAGCGCCUCGUGAAUUCAUCUCCGGGGGUAGAGCACUGUUUCGGCUAGGGGGCCAUCCCGGCUUACCAACCCGAUGCAAACUGCGAAUACCGGAGAAUGUUAUCACGGGAGACACACGGCGGGUGCUAACGUCCGUCGUGAAGAGGGAAACAACCCAGACCGCCAGCUAAGGUCCCAAAGUCAUGGUUAAGUGGGAAACGAUGUGGGAAGGCCCAGACAGCCAGGAUGUUGGCUUAGAAGCAGCCAUCAUUUAAAGAAAGCGUAAUAGCUCACUGGUCGAGUCGGCCUGCGCGGAAGAUGUAACGGGGCUAAACCAUGCACCGAAGCUGCGGCAGCGAACGUAUCACUUAAAGCGAUUCAGCGGGUUACGAUUGACGGAGCGAAGCGACGUCAAAGCGUAUACAAAGUCGAGUCGGUUUAAGGAUACGUUCGUUGGGUAGGGGAGCGUUCUGUAAGCCUGUGAAGGUGGCCUGUGAGG